CUCGUAGGUGGUUUGUCGCGUUGUUCGUGAAAACCUGAGGCUUAACCUUGGGCGUGCGGGCGAUACGGGCAGACUGGAGUACUGCAGGGGAGACUGGAAUUCCUGGUGUAGCGGUGGAAUGCGCAGAUAUCAGGAGGAACACCGGUGGCGAAGGCGGGUCUCUGGGCAGUAACUGACGCUGAGGAGCGAAAGCGUGGGGAGCGAACA
RNAcentral lists this ribosomal RNA (207 nucleotides) under uncultured bacterium. Its description in RNAcentral is "partial 16S ribosomal RNA". It matches the Rfam family "Bacterial small subunit ribosomal RNA", at positions 568 to 774 of the family's 1533-position model. The record is from RNAcentral.